GAUGAACGCUGGCGGCGUGCCUAAUACGUGCAAGUCGAGCGAACAGACGAGGAGCUUGCUCCUCUGACGUUAGCGGCGGACGGGUGAGUAACACGUGGAUAACCUACCUAUAAGACUGGGAUAACUUCGGGAAACCGGAGCUAAUACCGGAUAAUAUAUUGAACCGCAUGGUGCAAUAGUGAAAGACGGUUUUGCUGUCACUUAUAGAUGGAUCCGCGCCGCAUUAGCUAGUUGGUAAGGUAACGGCUUACCAAGGCAACGAUGCGUAGCCGACCUGAGAGGGUGAUCGGCCACACUGGAACUGAGACACGGUCCAGACUCCUACGGGAGGCAGCAGUAGGGAAUCUUCCGCAAUGGGCGAAAGCUUGACGGAGCAACGCCGCGUGAGUGAUGAAGGUCUUCGGAUCGUAAAACUCUGUUAUUAGGGAAGAACAAAUGUGUAAGUAACUAUGCACGUCUUGACGGUACCUAAUCAGAAAGCCACGGCUAACUACGUG
Molecule: ribosomal RNA, 497 nt
Filed under: uncultured bacterium
Lineage: Bacteria
Description: partial 16S ribosomal RNA
Rfam family: Bacterial small subunit ribosomal RNA
Source: RNAcentral